This 7124-nucleotide long non-coding RNA is filed under the name Sus scrofa (pig). Its description in RNAcentral is "lncRNA (ENSSSCG00040049268.1)". The record is from RNAcentral. Lineage: Eukaryota; Metazoa; Chordata; Mammalia; Artiodactyla; Suidae.
GUGGUAUUUUUGCUUCUGGUUGCAGCUUUUUCUUUUCUGCCUAAAGAAGUUCCUUUAGUAUUUGUUGUGAAGCUGGUUUACUGUUGCUGAAUUCUCUUAGCUUUUGCUUAUCAAUGAAACUUUUGAUUUCUCUUUCAAAUCUGAAUGGUAGCCUUGCUGUGUAAAGUAAUCUUGGUUGGAGUUUUUUUCGUUUCAUCACAUUAAGUAUACCAUGCCACUCCCUUCUGGCCUGCAGAGUUUCUGCUGAAAAGUCUGCUGAUAACCUUAUUGGGUUUCCCUUGUAUGUUAUUUGUUUCUUUUCCCUAGCUGCUUUCAAUAUUCUCUGUCUUUAAUUUUGGUCAGUUUGAUUAAUAUGUGUCUUGUGGUGUUCCUCCUUGGGUUUAUUUUAUAUGGGACUUGUUGUGCUUCCUGGAUUUGAGUGAAUGGUUCCUUUCCCAUGUUAGGGAAGUUUUCGGCUAUUAUCUCUUAGAAUAUUUUUUCUGUCCCCUUCUCUCUCUCUUCUCCUUCUGGCACCCCUAUAAUAUGGAUGUUGGCAUGUUUAACAUUGUCCCAGAGUUCUUUGAGAUUCUCUUCAUUUGUUUUCAAUCUUUUUUCUCUUUUCUGUUCCACAUCCAUAAUUUCUACUAAUCUGUCCUCUACCUCACUUAUUUGUUCUUCUGCCUCCUGUGCUCUGUUAUUAGCUGCUAGUGAAUUUUUUAUUUCAGUUAUUGUAUUUUGCAUCACUUAAGUUUUGUAUUGUUUAUCUCUUUGCUCAAUUUUUCCUACACAUUAUCCAUCUUUGCUUCCAGUUUAUUUCCAAUAUCUUGCAUCAUCUUCAGCAUCAACAGUCUAAAGUCUUUCCUGGAGGCUGAGAAUCUCCAGAUCACUUAGCCGUUUUUCUGGGGCUUUUUCUUUCUUAUCUGAGUUAUAGUUCUCUGCCUUUUCAUUUUUGUAGGUUUUUGGUGUGGUGAUGUUUUUGGAGACAAUAGAAUUGUAGCCUCUCUUACUUCUGUUGUCUUCUGCUUUGUGGCUGAAGUUGGUACAGGGGCUUGCUGUGGGCUUCCUGAUGGGAGGGACUGGUGCCUGCCCACUGGUAGGUGGAGCUGAUUCCUAUACCUCUGGUGGGUGGGGCUUUGUCUCUGGAUGAGAUUAGAGGCAGCUGUGUGCCUGGGGGGUUUUUAGGCAGGCUGUUUACUGAUGGGUGGUGCUGUGAUCCCACCUAGAUUGUUGUUUGACCUGGGGCUUCUCAGUGCUGAUGGGUGGGGCCAGAUUUUCCCAAAAUGGCCACCUCCAGAGAAAUGCAGGCUGAUGAAUAUUCCCAAGAGCUUUGCCUCCAAUACCCUUCCCCCACAACAAGUCACAUUCAGCCCCUGUUUUCCCAGGAGAUCCACCAAGAAUUACAGUCAGGUCCAACCCAGAUUCCUAUGGAGUCUUUGCUUUGCCCUGGGGCCCAGUGCCUGUGUAAGUCUAUGUGUGCCUUUCAAGAAUGGGGUCUCCAUUUCCCCCAGUCCUGUGGAACUCCUGGGCACAAGCCCCACUGGCCUUCAAUGCCAGAUGCUCCGGGGGCUCUUUCUCCUAGUGUCUGUUCCCCAGGCAUGGGGAUUUGACUUGGGGCCCAGAACUCUCACUCCUGUAGGUGAGUAUCUGUGAUACAGUAAUUUUCCAUUCUGUGGGGCUUCCCCCUGGAUGUAUGGGGUUGCUUAUAUCACGUACUCACCCCUCCUACCUCUUGAUGUUGCCUCCUCUUUGUCUUAUGGAGUAGGAUAUCUUUUUGAAAGCUUCCAGUCCAUUUGGUUGAAACUUGCUCAGCAUUUGGUUGUAAUUUUGUUGUUUUUAUGACAGAAGUUGAACUCCAGUCCUUCUAUUCCAUCUUAAUCCCAUCUCUACUUGGUAUUGUUUGAUAAAUAAUAACAUUGUUUGAGAGCAGAUGAAUAGUUACCACAUAUUUUUUCUAGGUGCUAGGAUCUGUGUUGUGUUUUAUACAUGUCAUUUCAUCUUGUUAGAAUUCUAUAAGGUAUUAUUAUCCUCAUUUUAUAAGUGAGAAAUUUGAAAGUGAAAAUACUCUUGCUUUCUGAUAAAAUAUUAACUUUAAUAUAUUUAAAUUAAUUAAUCUUUUAUUUAUAAACAAUGCUAUAUGUGUCUUCUUUAGGAAUUCUUUCCCUAUUAUAAGGUCUAAGAUAUAUUCAUCUAAAUUUUCUUCUAAAAGUUUUAAUGUUUUGUUUUUGAUAUGUAUGGCUUUAAUUCAUCUAGAGUUGACUUUUAAGUAUGGGAUCAUUUUGGGAUUCCCUUUUAUCUUAUUCCAUAUGGAAACUUAUUUUAUUUUUUAGCUCUAUUUAGUUGAGUUUCUUUUUUCCCCACUGAUAUGUCUUGCUAACUUUUACACACAUCGUGAUCCACAUAUGUAUUCACAGAAUGAGGUAUUUCUCAUACAGCAGUUUAAAAUAUAUCACCUAUAUGUACCAAUAUGAAUGAAUUGUUGCCCUAUGAUGGAUUAAUGAUGAAGAUGUGUCAUGAACCAAGGAUUGUGAUGAACUGAGUGCUGUCUGUCCAUUUAAGAUCCCUGGGGAAACAAACAAACAAACCAACUGAGGGCUAAAAGGAGUUAGAUGAUUUGCUCAAGCUCACUUGGCUAUGAAAGUGAUAGAACUGGAACUCAAAAAUAGUUCAUCCAACUCCAAAUGCCAAGCUUUUCCAAUAGACAGUGUGGUACAGUCAAUUCUCAACCCUGAUAGAAAUAUAUCAUUCCUUGUUGAGAUAUCAUCACUCAUCAUCUCUUAUUCCAAUUAUUUUAGCACUCGAGAUACGUCUAUUAUUCCUACUGGUAAACUGAAUACCAUACAAAGUUAGAGGGCUGUAGAUCUUGCUCCUUUCCUGGAUCCCUGAGGUCUCAAACCCUUAGUUAUCCCUGCCCUCCCCUGCAUAUUCUACCUUCAUCUCAUCUAGACUCCUUUCCAUUAGUGAAUGGGUUUGAAUGCUUGAGUUUGCUUGGAUGUGCUUGCAUAUUUGCAUCUUGACUGAAGAGGCACAGAACCCCCUCUGACCUCUCCCACAUCUCUCCAUGCUUGCUAUGUCCUGUCUUAAUUCUCAGCUAUUUGUAUCCCUUUACACAGAAAGCUCUGUAGAACAAGAUCAGCUGCCUCAUUCACUGUUGCAUCUGGUACCUAACCCAUUGACCAACACAGAGUAGGCCCUCAAUCAGUAUUGGUCUAAUGAAUGAAGAAGGGUAAUAAACUUACACUUCUAGUUUCUGUCUCCCUCAGGCUCUUGAAAGAGUCCUGUUUUGAGGUUAGGGAAUGUAACUUUCCUUUAGAUGGGUAGCUAAGGAUUAAAUAAGCCAGCCUUAUUGACAAGCACACUGUGACCAUGUUUUCAGUUCUAGUAAGCAUUCUUGCAUCAUUCCUAGUUAAUACACUUCUGCCUUUGAGUUUGGUUCCUCUGGCAGCUCCAGGGGACAUGAGCCCUGCAAUGGGACCUGGUCCUCUUAACUGAGUCCCUGUCACCCUCACUGCAUGCCUGUGGGGGCAGUUCUGUUCUCAACAUUCCAUCCUUGAACAUCUUUGUGCAGCCCAAGCCCAUGCUCCCUAAUGCCCUGACCUCAUUCUUACGCUUGCCUCCCACUGGGGCCUUGCAGGGAUCCUCCAUAUGUUAGAGAGUCCAGCUUCUGAAUCCACACCCCCUUCCCCAUGCAAGGGUGUCAACAUGCUGCUGAGCUCCAGAGGGACCAGGCCACAGUCUAGGAUGUCCUCAGAAUCACCUCAGGCAGAACCACUGAUGUCCAGGUUCUUAUGUUCCAUGAAGAUCAUUGGGGGAAUGGGUAGGGACAGAAAGGCAGGAGAGAAGCAGAGUGGAGAGCCCCAGGAAAGUGGCUAGUGCUUCUCAAGUUCCCAAACCCUGUCUGAAGAGAAGAUGCUAUUACAGUGGGAGGGGCUGAUCCAGCUGAGAGCUGUGUGUGCAUGUAUUGGUUGGAGAGGGUGUAACAUACCUUAUUUGUGUUCUUAUCCCCAACACUUGCCACAGAGCCUGCCACAGGUACUCCGUAGAUGUUAUGGAAUGGCAUGAACACAUUCCAGCCUGAGCUGUGUCCCUAACAACCUGUGUGAUGUUGAACUAGUCAAUUUACCUCCGGCCCUCAAUUUUCCCAUCUGCUAAGUGUAGCUCAAAGUGGCUCUUAUACUAUUAUUUCAAGGAUGAAAAAAUUUAAUGCAUUGGGGGAUGUGACAUCAGUAAACGCCAAUAUUUUUUAACAUGUCUUCCAAUUAGUAGCAAGUUUUAAAUUCAUGAUAUGAAUUUUUAUCUAUAUAGAUGACACACAUGUUCUAUUAUAUAUUUACAUGGUAUAUAUAUAUAUAUUUUUUUUUCUUUCUUUACCUUUUAUUUUUUUUUCUACUGUACUGCAUGAUGACCCAGUUACACUUACAUGUAUACAUUCUUUUUUGUCCCAUCAUCAUGCUCCAUCAUAAGUGACCAGACAUUGUUCCCAGUGCUACACAGCAGGAUCUCAUUGCUAAUCCAUUCCAAAGUCAAUAGUUUGAAUCUAUUAACCCCAAACUCCCAAUCCACCACACUCCCUCCCCCUUUCCCUUGGCAACCACAAGUCUUUUCUCCAAGUCCAUGAUUUUCUUUUCUGUGGAAAGGUUCAUUUGUGCCAUAUAUUAGAUUCCAGAUAUAAAUGAUAUCAUAUGGGAUUUGUCUUUCUCUUUCUGACAUUUCACUCAGGAUGAGAGUCUCGAGUUCCAUCCUCGUUGCUGUAAAUAGCAUUAUUUUGCUUUUUUUAUGGCUGACUAGUAUUCCAUUGUGUAUAUAUACCACAUCUUCCUAAUCAAAUCAUCUGUCCAUGGACAUUUGGGUUGUUUCCAUGAAUGCUGAGCNGGGGGGUAAUCUUGUAUACCUAGGGAUGUUUAUCUUAAUUUGGAGACCAUGACUUUAAAGUUGGUUGAGAUAAGAUCAUGAAAUUCUCUCACAACAUUUCUGACACCAAAUGCAUGGUAGCUUUUCCACCACCACUUCCAUCCUUUGACACCAGCUUGGUAUCCUACAAUUCCAUCCCAUUUGGACUCCCUGUCUACCUGGCGUUAGCAUCACAUCCCAUAAGUUAAGGGCUUAGUCCCACAAGACUGCCUCCACUUCGGUGACAGACACAAGCCCAAGAUUGUCACUUCUGACCAACCUAUCAGCUAUAAAUUCAGGAGUUCCCACCACCCCCUCCUUAGGUUUGAUGUUUGCUAGAAUGACUGACAAAACUCAGGAAAGUACUUUACUUCCUGUUACUGGCUUAUUAUAAAGGUUACAACUCAGGAACAGCCAAAUAGAGGAGAUGCAUAGGUACGGCAUAGGGGAUGGACAUGCAGCUUCCAUGCCCCCUCUAGGUAUGACGACAUCCUAGCACCUUGAUACGUUCACCUGGAAACUCUCCAAACCCCACUGUAUAGUGUUUUUAUGGAGGUUUUAUGACAUAGGCAUGACUGAUUAAGUCAUUAGCCACUGGUGAUUGAAACAGUUCUAACCACUUUCCCCUCCCCAGAGGUGAUAGUGGCAGGGGUAAGGGGUGGGGUGGGGUAGGGUGGGCAGUACAGCUGCAAGGUCCAAACCCCUGAUUACAUGGUUGGUUCCUCUGGUAACCAGACCCAUCCUGAAGCUAUGGGAGGCCCAUGAAGAGUCAUCUCAUUAUUGUAAACUCAGGUAAGGUUGAAAGUGUCUUGUUAUGAAUAACAAAAGACACUCCUAUCUCUAACACUCAGGAAAUUCUGAGGGUUUUAGAAGCUCUGUGUCAGGAACCAGGGACAAAGACCAAAUCUAUAUUUCUUUAAAAAUUUUUUUUUAUUUGUAUGAUUUUUAUUUUUCCAUUACAGUCAAUUCACAGUGUUCUGUCAAUUUCUACUGUACAGCAAAGUGACCCCAUCAUACAUAUAUAUACACACAUAGUCUUUUUCUCACAUUAUCCUCCAUCAUGUUCCAUCACAAGUGACUAGAUAUAGUUCCCUGUGCUAUACAGCAGGAUCUCAUUACAAAUCUAUACUUAUUGUAUCACAGACAUCUAGGAAUUGCUCUUUUUAUUAGCAUUUUAGUGGCUAAAAAGUAAUGCCUGUUGCCCAGUGAUAUUUGUUCAGUAAAGCAUAUCGUCACCAUGGUGAAAAUGCACUCCGCUUUGCCCUCCCUGUUGGAUUCAGUAAAGUUACUUUUAUAUUAAAUUUUAAAGUGCUAAUCAUAAGCAUUUGCAUUUUUCCUGAGUUGGCUCUCAAGCAGAAAAUGUUGUUCACCACUAGUUUAAUGUCACUAGUAGCCACAUGUGUUUCUUGGCGAUGUAAAUUCUUAGGCUUGUUAAGGCAAAAUACUCUCUAGGGUACUCUAAACAGAUGUUGUGGAGGCAUUACCCUCAUUACAGAGAAAACUUUGCUCUUCUUGCUCCAUCAGAGGAGUUACCUUGGCAAUAAGCUGGGUCGCUUAUUCCUUCAUUGAACCAAGACUUAUUGAGUGCCGGGCACAGGGCUAGUCCUUGGAAGUAAAAGGUUAAACAAGAGCGAUGUGGUUUUUACCUUCAUGGAGUUGACACACUAACUGGGGUGAAAGACAACAAUAACAACAAAGCAAUGGAACAAUUACAGGUAGGGUGACUCCAGGCUGGGAGUCCUCUCAGUGUUGAGACAAUGCCCAGAUGGAGAGGAAAGCAGAGACCAUAUGAUGCAGGAAGGCAGGAAUCAUGUCAUGGCUUACCUUUUGAAGUCAUGGUAAGGACCUAUUUAUUUUAAGUGCAAUACAGGGUCAUUGAAGGGCAGGGGAGGCUGUAUGUAGGAAGUAUGCUGUGAAUGAUGAGAAGCAAGCAUGGAAUUGGGGAUCCUAUACUUGUCAGUAGGUUUAGUGGCUAUGGGUCAACCUCAAGCACGUUGCAGAAAUGUAAAUUAAGGAGUUCCCAUUGUGGCUUAAUGGUAACAAACCUGAUUAAUAUCCAUGAGGGCACGGGUUUGAUCCCUGACCCCACUCAGUGGGUUAAGGAUCUGGCGUUGCUGUGAGCUGCGGUGUAGGUUGCAGACAUGGGUUGAAUCCUGAGUUGCUGUGGCUAUGGGGCAGGCUGGCAGCUAGAGCUCUGAUUUGACCCCUAGCCUAGGAACUCUCAUAUGCCACAGGUGUGGCCCUGAAAAAAAAAAAAA